GAUCCUGGCUCAGGACGAACGCUGGCGGCGUGCUUAACACAUGCAAGUCGAACGAGAAGAGAUGAGAAGCUUGCUUCUUAUUGAUUCGAGUGGCAAACGGGUGAGUAACGCGUAAGCAACCUGCCCUUCAGAUGGGGACAACAGCUGGAAACGGCUGCUAAUACCGAAUACGUUCUUUUUGUCGCAUGGCAGAGGGAAGAAAGGGAGGCUCUUCGGAGCUUUCGCUGAAGGAGGGGCUUGCG
RNAcentral lists this ribosomal RNA (242 nucleotides) under uncultured bacterium. RNAcentral describes it as "partial 16S ribosomal RNA". It matches the Rfam family "Bacterial small subunit ribosomal RNA", at positions 15 to 235 of the family's 1533-position model. The record is from RNAcentral.